Molecule: ribosomal RNA, 305 nt
Filed under: uncultured bacterium
Lineage: Bacteria
Description: bacterial SSU rRNA
Rfam family: Bacterial small subunit ribosomal RNA
Source: RNAcentral
GUGUACCUACGGGACGCAGCAGUGGGGAAUAUUGGGCAAUGGGCGCAAGCCUGACCCAGCAACGCCGCGUGAAGGAAGAAGGCUUUCGGGUUGUAAACUUCUCUUAAGAGGGAAGAGUAGAAGACGGUACCUCUUGAAUAAGCCACGGCUAACUACGUGCCAGCAGCCGCGGUAAUACGUAGGUGGCAAGCGUUGUCCGGAUUUACUGGGUGUAAAGGGCGUGUAGCCGGGCCGGCAAGUCAGAUGUGAAAUCCCAAGGCUCAACCUUGGAACUGCAUUUGAAACUGUUGGUCUUGAGUAUGGGG